GGCGUGGUAGCUCAGUUGGUUAGAGCGCACGACUCAUAAUCGUGAGGUCGAGAGUUCAAAUCUCUCCCACGCCACCA
RNAcentral lists this transfer RNA (77 nucleotides) under Amylibacter sp. RNAcentral describes it as "tRNA-Met". It matches the Rfam family "tRNA". Rfam says of the family: Transfer RNA (tRNA) molecules are approximately 80 nucleotides in length. Their secondary structure includes four short double-helical elements and three loops (D, anti-codon, and T loops). Further hydrogen bonds mediate the characteristic L-shaped molecular structure. tRNAs have two regions of fundamental functional importance: the anti-codon, which is responsible for specific mRNA codon recognition, and the 3' end, to which the tRNAs corresponding amino acid is attached (by aminoacyl-tRNA synthetases). tRNAs cope with the degeneracy of the genetic code in two manners: having more than one tRNA (with a specific anti-codon) for a particular amino acid; and 'wobble' base-pairing, i.e. permitting non-standard base-pairing at the 3rd anti-codon position. Lineage: Bacteria; Pseudomonadati; Pseudomonadota; Alphaproteobacteria; Rhodobacterales; Paracoccaceae. The record is from RNAcentral. RNAcentral also lists the same sequence under 1 other name.